This 1434-nucleotide ribosomal RNA is filed under the name Nesterenkonia sandarakina. Its description in RNAcentral is "bacterial SSU rRNA". It matches the Rfam family "Bacterial small subunit ribosomal RNA". Lineage: Bacteria; Bacillati; Actinomycetota; Actinomycetes; Micrococcales; Micrococcaceae. The record is from RNAcentral.
CGGGGGGCGCGCGGCAUUACACAUGCAAGUCGAACGAUGAAGACCGUGCUUGCACGGUUGGAUUAGUGGCGAACGGGUGAGUAUCACGUGAGUAACCUUCCCUUAACUCUGGGAUAAGCCCGGGAAACUGGGUCUAAUACCGGAUACGACCAGUCCUCGCAUGGGGUGCUGGUGGAAAGAUUUAUCGGUUUUGGAUGGACUCGCGGCCUAUCAGCUUGUUGGUGAGGUAAAGGCUCACCAAGGCGAUGACGGGUAGCCGGCCUGAGAGGGUGACCGGCCACACUGGGACUGAGACACGGCCCAGACUCCUACGGGAGGCAGCAGUGGGGAAUAUUGCACAAUGGGCGAAAGCCUGAUGCAGCGACGCCGCGUGCGGGAUGACGGCCUUCGGGUUGUAAACCGCUUUCAGCAGGGAAGAAGCGCAAGUGACGGUACCUGCAGAAGAAGCGCCGGCUAACUACGUGCCAGCAGCCGCGGUAAUACGUAGGGCGCGAGCGUUAUCCGGAAUUAUUGGGCGUAAAGAGCUCGUAGGCGGUUUGUCACGUCUGCUGUGAAAGCCCGGGGCUCAACCCCGGGUGUGCAGUGGGUACGGGCAGACUAGAGUGCAGUAGGGGAGACUGGAAUUCCUGGUGUAGCGGUGAAAUGCGCAGAUAUCAGGAGGAACACCGAUGGCGAAGGCAGGUCUCUGGGCUGUUACUGACGCUGAGGAGCGAAAGCAUGGGGAGCGAACAGGAUUAGAUACCCUGGUAGUCCAUGCCGUAAACGUUGGGCACUAGGUGUGGGGGACAUUCCACGUUUUCCGCGCCGUAGCUAACGCAUUAAGUGCCCCGCCUGGGGAGUACGGCCGCAAGGCUAAAACUCAAAGGAAUUGACGGGGGCCCGCACAAGCGGCGGAGCAUGCGGAUUAAUUCGAUGCAACGCGAAGAACCUUACCAAGGCUUGACAUGGACCGGACCGCUGCAGAGAUGCAGUUUCCCUUCGGGGUCGGUUCACAGGUGGUGCAUGGUUGUCGUCAGCUCGUGUCGUGAGAUGUUGGGUUAAGUCCCGCAACGAGCGCAACCCCUAUCCUAUGUUGCCAGCACGUUAUGGUGGGGACUCAUGGGAGACUGCCGGGGUCAACUCGGAGGAAGGUGGGGACGACGUCAAAUCAUCAUGCCCCUUAUGUCUUGGGCUUCACGCAUGCUACAAUGGCCGGUACAAUGGGUUGCGAUACUGUGAGGUGGAGCUAAUCCCUAAAAGCCGGUCUCAGUUCGGAUCGAAGUCUGCAACUCGACUUCGUGAAGUUGGAGUCGCUAGUAAUCGCAGAUCAGCAACGCUGCGGUGAAUACGUUCCCGGGCCUUGUACACACCGCCCGUCAAGUCACGAAAGUGGGUAACACCCGAAGCCGGUUGGCCUAACCCUUGUGGGGGAGCCGUCGUUAGGUGAUCCCGGGC